Molecule: ribosomal RNA, 292 nt
Filed under: uncultured bacterium
Lineage: Bacteria
Description: partial 16S ribosomal RNA
Rfam family: Bacterial small subunit ribosomal RNA
Source: RNAcentral
GUGGAUUAGAUACCCGGGUAGUCCUGGCAGUAAACGGUGCUCGCUUGGUAUGCGCGGUUUCGACCCCGUGCGUGCCGGAGCUAACGCGUUAAGCGAGCCGCCUGGGAAGUACGGUCGCAAGAUUAAAACUCAAAGAAAUUGACGGGGACCCGCACAAGCGGUGGAGUAUGUGGCUUAAUUCGAUGCAACGCGAAGAACCUUACCUGGGCUUGACAUGCAUCGCUAAUCGCGUGAAAGCGCGUGAGUGGAGCAAUCCACACUUUGCACAGGUGCUGCACGGUUGUCGCCAGCU